This 253-nucleotide ribosomal RNA is filed under the name uncultured bacterium. Its description in RNAcentral is "partial 16S ribosomal RNA". It matches the Rfam family "Bacterial small subunit ribosomal RNA", at positions 524 to 776 of the family's 1533-position model. The record is from RNAcentral.
UACGGAGGGUGCGAGCGUUGUCCGGAAUCACUGGGCGUAAAGGGCGCGUAGGCGGCCUGGUAAGUCAUCUGUGAAAUCCCGGUGCUCAACGCCGGGGCCGCAGGUGAGACUGUCAGGCUAGAGCUUGGUAGAGGCGAGUGGAAUUCCCGGUGUAGCGGUGGAAUGCGUAGAUAUCGGGAAGAACACCGGUGGCGAAGGCGGCUCGCUGGGCCGAUGCUGACGCUGAGGCGCGAAAGCGUGGGGAGCAAACAGG